AGGACGGUAUUUGUGUCAAUAUGGAUAUUUCAAACAUAUUGCACUUAUACCGGCCUGA
RNAcentral lists this microRNA precursor (58 nucleotides) under Drosophila ananassae. RNAcentral's name for it is "Dan-Mir-92-P6_pre stem-loop". Lineage: Eukaryota; Metazoa; Arthropoda; Insecta; Diptera; Drosophilidae. The record is from RNAcentral.